CAAAAAUACCCCUUAUUGAACACUGUCAAGUCUGCAGGAGCUACAGGGCUGGCAGACACUUCAGUGGCUCUGGCUGUUUCCUGGACAGUGAGAAGUCACCGCUGCACAUUACAGAUGGUCCUGUGCAUUCAGCAAAACCUUCUUUCACUUCUUAACACUCCUUUCAUUCUCCUGAGUCACAAAAGCAGUGUUGCAACCUGAAGAUUAUGUUUGGCGUAUUUCUGGUCACCAAAUCAGCUUGGCCACUCUGCCCCCUUUCUGCCUGCAGCAUGUCUGGAUUGGCUCGUGCUUCCCUUUUUCUCUUGGGUGCUCAAAAGCAUUUGGGCACUUCUAGCAACAGCACUGCUUGCUUCCAGCAGCAGCCAUGGGCCCUUUCCAUGAGUGUGAGCAAAGCAGGAGAUGAAUAGCUCUGAUGUAGUUUCAGGUGCAUUUUGGAGUGAUGAAAUCCUAAGAAUGAGGUCUGUAGAGAUGCAGUGAGCAGGGCAAACAGAAGCCCUGCAAUGUGAUGGGUUGCUCUGAUUGCAGUGCCUUGUCUUUGUUUCCAUGGAAGCUACAAGAAAUAGAAAGAGCACAAUAACACUAAUUGAUAGAGCAGAUUCUCAGCUCCCAAACACUAUUUUUCAAUAGCAAUUCACAGGAGCAAUUCAAAAGCAAUUUACAGGAGCCUUCACUUCAUGCUUGUAAAUACCUGCACCAGUGGAAGCAGCGCACUGUUUCACAGCUGCUAUGAUGGCACAGUUGACCAGGAAAUGUUGCCCACACAGUCCAUCUUUCACCAGUCUGAACAGAUGGAAAAAAUGAAGGUGCCAAAUCGGGACGAUCUGUUGUGUGUGUCAGGACUGUAAAGUCAAAAUAAGCUCUGUCCACCACAGUCUUCCAAUUGGUAUGGAACCUGACAUUACGGUGUUGAAAGAGAAAGAUAGUCUUCUUCUCUGACCUGAUUCUGGAAAUUCAAGCCUUUGUCAGUAGUACAUUGUCAGUACUGAGACUGAGUGGUAGGAGUUGAUGCAUUGUCCAGGUCCUAGCAAAUCCAGACGGAUCACCCCUUCCUUUCCUAUCCCAAAACACAGUGCACAUCAGUAUGCCCACUGAGGUCUGUAUCUAGACCUUUUUCUUUGAUAGGGAAUUCUCAUGUUGCCACUCCAUGGACUCUGGCUCUUUUGACUCUGGCUCGUAGCCUUGACUCCACACCUCAUCAUUGGUAAUGAUGAGAUCCAGGAAACUGACACCUGGAGCCUCAUUUGGGUUCAAUUGUUUCUUGCUAAUUGGCAUACAGUGUUCUUUCUGUUCCUGUGUGAAUGUUCAUGGGACCCAGCCUGUGCAAAGUUUGCUAUAUUGCACUGUUGACACCAUUCUUUUCAAUGCACAGAAGCCAACAUUCAUUUCUCUAUGCAGCUCUCUGGUCAUAAUCCACUGAUUUGAGCAGAUGCUCCGAUCCAGACACAUUUCAUUUUGUGUGUGACAGCUGUGCAUUGCUAUUGAGAACAUGGCAUAUCAUUUGAGCCCCUGUUGCCAAUGCUGAAACGCAAUAUCCACUGCAUCUGUUGUUUGGCCUUCUGUUUCUGGUUCAGCAAGAAUCAAUGAAUGUCAAGGGGGUGCAGUUUGUUCCACAUGGAAAUAUCAAAAUCCACACCCUUGUUUCGAGUGGCCCUGAUUUGAAGUAGUAGGCCACAAUCUAUUUUGUAAUGUGUUUUUAGAAAUGGCCGAUUUGAAAAAGUAGAUAUGCCAUAUAUUUUUGUAGUGUAUCUUUAGAAAUACUGUUGUUGAAUUGUUUUAUUAGGUGAUCAGUUCUCACUAGCAAAACUGUAAUAGCUUUUGGUGUAGCUAAUAGUUAUGGAUGUAGCAUUACAUACGAGAAAGCAUGUUGUAUGUCUGUACUGUUUUGAAGAGAGACCCUCAGCAAAAGAAACAUAAUGAUGAAAGCCAGGGCCUCCACACGAGGCUGAAUUGUCUCACUCUGGGAUUAGGUUGAAAUGCAGCAGGCAGAUGUCACGAUUCUCUUCUCUAUCCUCCUUAUCUUCUAACAACCCAGUGUAUAUCAUUAAAAGUCAGGUUGCCAAGCUUAUUUCUAUCCAGGGUCAAGCAGAUGUCCAGAGCUCAUGGCUGAGUGCUGAGUGAGCAUAAUAGGCUUUCUCCUACUGUGCAUAUAUCUCUGAAUAAAGUUCAUGUGGAGGACAAGGAAGGAAGACCACUGGAUGAAAGACAAGGCUGUCGGUUGGGGUGUCACGGUGCCAAAAGGACUCUAGACGGUAGAAGAGACCAUGGAAUAGAAGACUGGAAACCUCAAAAAUCACUCCCUGAGAUAGGUGGCAACCCAGAUGGGACAAUCUCUGUUCCGUUGCGGGACCCGUUGAGAACAGGACUCCCUGGGCACCCCUGGAGGGAAUCCUCACCUCAGCUGGAUCACUGUGGAACAGACAAAGGACAUGUGAAAUAAAAAUAAAAUAAAUAAAUAAAUAAAUAAAUAAAAUAAAAGGCAUUCUUUACUUGUCAGUUUUGGGGAAAGGUCCAUUGAGGAGGCUAUCUAUAAGUCAGCCGAGAUUGCAGGGCAGGCCUGGUUUGGGAAUACUCAAUUGCAGGUGGGUGUCCUGCUGGGUUGGGGAAGCCACCUAUAAGUCACUGGGGAUCGCAGGGUUGGCGUCUCUUGGGCCAUGAGCACCCAGGUAUACAUUUGGGAAAUACCUGAUUGCAGGUUCGUGCCCUACUGGGUAUGUAUAGGUUUUGAAACUAAGGCACUGAAAAUUGGCUUUGAUAAUGCGUUCUGUUUACUGCCUAAAGAAACCAGGAGCAUAAAACUGGACAGUUCUUGGAGUGUCUUAAUUGUAAGAAUAAGUGCUAGGUGUUUAUGUAUUGUUUGACUUGUGGUGUUGGAGGGAGUGGGGCAAACUGAUGGUGUGUGGAUAUUAAGUAUAAUUGAUAGUAUGUGGAAGUUUAUGCAAGUGUAACUGAUGGUUCAUGGAAGUGUAAUUGAUGGUAUGUGGAAGUGCAAUUGAUGUUGUUUAUGGCACCUUGGUUGCUGUGAACUUUGUUAUAGUUUGUUGUUGUAAUUGAAAAAAAAAUUAAGACAAAAGAGUUAAGGAGGAAUGGUGAGUUGGAGAACUAGAAUGGAUUAAAAUUACCAGUGGAAGCCUGAAAUCAGCAGAAAAACAAUAACAAAUGAAGCUCCCAUCUUGCUAGGGGAUGUUGGUUAUGGCUCUCCCUGAAGGAAUUUGAUGUACAACCACGGCUUGAGGGAGAUGGUGACUCCAUUACCUACCAAUUUGAGGAGGCACAGUUUUCCAAAAGGGGAGCAAGUAACUCCAAAGAAAUCCUAAAGAAGACACCUAUGGAAUGUGUCACACUGGAAAGAAAUAAUUGGCUGGGCAGGAAGCACAACCAGCAAAAAGGUGUUGAUAAAGUACUGUAAUCAGUGAUGUAAUGGUAUAGGGAAUUAUAAUUGGUGCAGUUUGUGAUGUCUUGGUGAUUGCAGACUUGGUCAUGGUUUGUUGUUGUAAGAAACCAUGCAUAAUAUUUUAAGUGCACAUUCUGAAUACUGUGUGACAGGUGGCAAGAUGAGGAGCGGAACUGUGGAAUUAGAGAAGGAAAAAAAAGUCCCCAGGGAUGUAUACUGUCUUAUUGGAGCAGUACUGGGAGACCCGCUGGAGGAAACGUAAACCAGACAACUUUGGGAUAAAUAUACCAUAAUCAGUGGUGGAAAUUACAGAAGUUGGAAUUUCAGGAAAAUGCUCAGCAAAUGAAUCAAUUAUACUAGCAUCUUGUAAUUAACGUUGUUUUGUAAACGGGAACAGCAAAUAAUUUACGUGAGAUGUGAUGCUAGCAAGGACCAUAGAGAGGAAAAACGGCGAAAAAGAGAAUGCGGGGCUGGCUGCCACCCUGGAAGGGAUCUAAGAUGCUGGUCACCACCAGCACGAAAUCUGCCCUGCGCUUCCCCAACCUGUGGCUUGCAAAAGGAAUGCUCAGAGCAAGCUGGGCUGGAGACCGCAGGUGUGGAGCUACAUGUGCUAAUUGCAGGGGAGGAGGGUUGAGGUGGGAUGCAUUGGAAGUGAGAAUGCCCUCCUCUGUGGAGAUCUAGGAAAUCCGACAUCCCAGCUUUAGCGCUGGAAGCCUCCGGGGCAAGGCUGCAGGCGAAACUGGAAUAGAACGUUUGAUUGAUACAAAUGGUUUUUAUAUUUACCAAUGGGCAAGGAAAUCUUUAAUCAGUUGGGACUGGUUGGAGGAAUUAGGGUCAAAAAUAAAAUCUACAGACAGUGUCCUUUGUAGGCAGGAGUGGUGCCUGGCAGAACAAAGAGAACUGAGCCACUUUACAAUGGGGGGGAGGAGAAAAGAAAAAGGGAAAAAAAGGAAAGACACAGGCUGAGGGAAGCAAAGAAAGGAAUAGAGAGGAAGCAGAGAAUGCAGAAGAAAGACAGAAGUGCAAUGUUGUGAGGGCGGAGAAGAAAGGUGAGGGAUAUGGAAAAACUGAGGAGAUAGUAAUGAAAUAAGGAAAUCCAGAAGAAUCAUAGCAACUGCUACUGUUGUGGCAUCAGCAGACUUCGCAACAGUGGUGGGAGUUACCAGCCUACAGGGAAAAAAGCAACCAAAAAAAGUUUCAUUUCGAAAUGAAGUAAUACAGGCUGGGAAACAUUAUGUUACAGGUAGGAGCCAGAUAAUGUAAAGAAUACCAUCAGAGAAAAAAAAAAAAAAA
Phasianus colchicus (ring-necked pheasant) is the source of this 4684-nucleotide non-coding RNA. Lineage: Eukaryota; Metazoa; Chordata; Aves; Galliformes; Phasianidae. The record is from RefSeq and is a predicted model, not a curated record.